This 983-nucleotide ribosomal RNA is filed under the name Escherichia coli. RNAcentral's name for it is "partial 23S ribosomal RNA". It matches the Rfam family "Bacterial large subunit ribosomal RNA", at positions 170 to 1191 of the family's 2925-position model. Lineage: Bacteria; Pseudomonadati; Pseudomonadota; Gammaproteobacteria; Enterobacterales; Enterobacteriaceae. The record is from RNAcentral.
GUUAAUGAGGCGAACCGGGGGAACUGAAACAUCUAAGUACCCCGAGGAAAAGAAAUCAACCGAGAUUCCCCCAGUAGCGGCGAGCGAACGGGGAGCAGCCCAGAGCCUGAAUCAGUGUGUGUGUUAGUGGAAGCGUCUGGAAAGGCGCGCGAUACAGGGUGACAGCCCCGUACACAAAAAUGCACAUACUGUGAGCUCGAUGAGUAGGGCGGGACACGUGGUAUCCUGUCUGAAUAUGGGGGGACCAUCCUCCAAGGCUAAAUACUCCUGACUGACCGAUAGUGAACCAGUACCGUGAGGGAAAGGCGAAAAGAACCCCGGCGAGGGGAGUGAAAAAGAACCUGAAACCGUGUACGUACAAGCAGUGGGAGCACAGAGCAAUCUGUGUGACUGCGUACCUUUUGUAUAAUGGGUCAGCGACUUAUAUUCUGUAGCAAGGUUAACCGAAUAGGGGAGCCGAAGGGAAACCGAGUCUUAACUGGGCGUUAAGUUGCAGGGUAUAGACCCGAAACCCGGUGAUCUAGCCAUGGGCAGGUUGAAGGUUGGGUAACACUAACUGGAGGACCGAACCGACUAAUGUUGAAAAAUUAGCGGAUGACUUGUGGCUGGGGGUGAAAGGCCAAUCAAACCGGGAGAUAGCUGGUUCUCCCCGAAAGCUAUUUAGGUAGCGCCUCGUGAAUUCAUCUCCGGGGGUAGAGCACUGUUUCGGCAAGGGGGUCAUCCCGACUUACCAACCCGAUGCAAACUGCGAAUACCGGAGAAUGUUAUCACGGGAGACACACGGCGGGUGCUAACGUCCGUCGUGAAGAGGGAAACAACCCAGACCGCCAGCUAAGGUCCCAAAGUCAUGGUUAAGUGGGAAACGAUGUGGGAAGGCCCAGACAGCCAGGAUGUUGGCUUAGAAGCAGCCAUCAUUUAAAGAAAGCGUAAUAGCUCACUGGUCGAGUCGGCCUGCGCGGAAGAUGUAACGGGGCUAAACCAUG